CAGCAGUGGGGAAUCUUGGACAAUGGGCGCAAGCCUGAUCCAGCCAUGCCGCGUGAGUGAUGAAGGCCCUAGGGUCGUAAAGCUCUUUCGCCAGGGAUGAUAAUGACAGUACCUGGUAAAGAAACCCCGGCUAACUCCGUGCCAGCAGCCGCGGUAAUACGGAGGGGUUAGCGUUGUUCGGAAUUACUGGGCGUAAAGCGCGCGUAGGCGGAUUAGUCAGUUAGAGGUGAAAUCCCAGGGCUCAACCCUGGAACUGCCUUUAAUACCGCUAGUCUUGAGUUCGAGAGAGGUGAGUGGAAUUCCGAGUGUAGAGGUGAAAUUCGUAGAUAUUCGGAGGAACACCAGUGGCGAAGGCGGCUCACUGGCUCGAUACUGACGCUGAGGUGCGAAAGUGUGGGGAGCAAACAGGAUUAGAUACCCUGGUAG
RNAcentral lists this ribosomal RNA (426 nucleotides) under uncultured bacterium. RNAcentral's name for it is "bacterial SSU rRNA". It matches the Rfam family "Bacterial small subunit ribosomal RNA", at positions 349 to 793 of the family's 1533-position model. The record is from RNAcentral.